Molecule: non-coding RNA, 209 nt
Organism: Paramuricea clavata
Lineage: Eukaryota; Metazoa; Cnidaria; Anthozoa; Malacalcyonacea; Plexauridae
Source: the annotation of a GenBank genome assembly
AAGAACCUGGUAGAAGCAGGUCACGUGAUCUGCUAAAAUCUGAAGAUUUUUCAUUAACUGUCUAGGAUUCCUUUAAAAUCAAAUCAAACUUGCCAAAUCAAAUGCAAGUUAUAAAUUGAUGUAAAAAUAUCAAAUAUUUAUCAACAUCGUCAUCAUUAAAAAUCUGCUAGAUUUUAGCCGAUCACGUGACCAGCUCCUACCAGGGUCUU